Molecule: ribosomal RNA, 468 nt
Filed under: uncultured bacterium
Lineage: Bacteria
Description: partial 16S ribosomal RNA
Rfam family: Bacterial small subunit ribosomal RNA
Source: RNAcentral
GACGAACGCUGGCGGCGUGCUUAACACAUGCAAGUCGAACGGAAAGGCCCUGCUUUUGUGGGGUGCUCGAGUGGCGAACGGGUGAGUAACACGUGAGUAACCUGCCCUUGACUUUGGGAUAACUUCAGGAAACUGGGGCUAAUACCGGAUAGCAGCUCCUGCUGCAUGGUGGGCGUUGGAAAGUUUCGGCGGUUGGGGAUGGACUCGCGGCUUAUCAGCUUGUUGGUUGGGUAGUGGCUUACCAAGGCUUUGACGGGUAGCCGGCAUGGGAGGGUGACCGGCCACAUUGGUACUGCGGUACGGCGCAGAGUCCUACGGGAGGCAGCAGUGGGGAAUAUUGCACAAUGGGCGGAAGCCUGAUGCAGCAACGCCGCGUGCGGAAUGACGGCCUUCGGGUUGUAAACCGCUUUCGCCUGUGACGAAGCGUGAGUGACGGUAAUGGGUAAAGAAGCACCGGCUAACUACGUG